This 654-nucleotide ribosomal RNA is filed under the name uncultured archaeon. RNAcentral describes it as "bacterial SSU rRNA". It matches the Rfam family "Archaeal small subunit ribosomal RNA", at positions 508 to 1160 of the family's 1478-position model. The record is from RNAcentral.
GCCUAAAGCGUCCGUAGCCUGUUCUAUAAGUUUCCGGUUAAAUCCAUUAGCUCAACUAAUGGGCCGCCGAAAAUACUGUAGAACUAGGGAGUGGGAGAGGUAGACGGUAUUCGGUAGGAAGGGGUAAAAUCCUUUGAUCUAUCGAGGACCACCUGUGGCGAAGGCGGUCUACCAGAACACGUCCGACGGUGAGGGAUGAAAGCUGGGGGAGCAAACCGGAUUAGAUACCCGGGUAGUCCCAGCUGUAAACUAUGCAAACUCAGUGAUGCAUUGGCUUGUGGCCAAUGCAGUGUUGCAGGGAAGCCGUUAAGUUUGCCGCCUGGGAAGUACGUACGCAAGUAUGAAACUUAAAGGAAUUGGCGGGGGAGCACCACAAGGGGUGAAGCCUGCGGUUCAAUUGGAGUCAACGCCAGAAAUCUUACCCGGAGAGACAGCAGAAUGAAGGUCAAGCUGAAGACUUUACCAGACAAGCUGAGAGGUGGUGCAUGGCCGCCGCCAGCUCGUGCCGUGAGAUGUCCUGUUAAGUCAGGUAACGAGCGAGAUCCCUGCCUCUAGUUGCUACCACUACUCUCAGGAGUAGUGGGGCGAAUUAGCGGGACCGCCGCAGUUAAUGCGGAGGAAGGAAGGGGCCACGACAGGUCAGUAUGCCCCGAA